AUACGGAGGAUCCGAGCGUUAUCCGGAUUUAUUGGGUUUAAAGGGUGCGCAGGCGGCCAUUUAAGUCAGCGGUUAAAUCGUGGGGCUCAACCCCAUUCUGCCGUUGAUACUGGGUGGCUUGAUUGCGGUCGAGGUUGGCGGAAUUCGUUGUGUAGCGGGUAAAUGCAUAGAUAUGACGAAGAACACCGAUUGCGUAGGCAGCUGACCAGACCGCAAGUGACGCUCAUGCACGAAAGUGCGGGGAUCGAACAGGAUUAGAUACCCUGGUAGUCCGCACAGUAAACGAUGAAUACUUGUUUUCGGCGAUAUAAUGUCGGAGGCAAAGCGAAAGCGAUAAGUAUUCCACCUGGGGAGUACGCCGGCAACGGUGAAACUCAAAGGAAUUGGCGGGG
Molecule: ribosomal RNA, 392 nt
Filed under: uncultured bacterium
Lineage: Bacteria
Description: partial 16S ribosomal RNA
Rfam family: Bacterial small subunit ribosomal RNA
Source: RNAcentral